ACGAGUGGUGCAAGCGUUAUUCGGAAUCAUUGGGCGUACAGGGCGUGUAGGUGGUAUGUUAAGUCUGUUGUUAAAGACUCUAGCCUAACUGGAGAAAGGCAAUGGAAACUGGUGUACUAGAGGGUGGAAGAGAGAAGUGGAAUUCUCGGUGUUGCGGUAAAAUGCGUAGAUAUCGAGAGGAACACCGAUGGCGAAGGCAGCAUCUUAGAACAUACCUGACUCUGAGGCGCGAAAGUGUGGGGAGCCAACAA
Molecule: ribosomal RNA, 251 nt
Filed under: uncultured prokaryote
Description: partial 16S rRNA
Rfam family: Bacterial small subunit ribosomal RNA
Source: RNAcentral